Molecule: small nuclear RNA, 108 nt
Organism: Panthera pardus (leopard)
Lineage: Eukaryota; Metazoa; Chordata; Mammalia; Carnivora; Felidae
Source: Ensembl
GGGCUCGGUUUGGCACCACAUAUAGUAAAAUUGGAAUGAUCAAGAGAAGAAUAGCAUGACCCCUGCAUAAGGAAGACUUACUAUAAAACUAUAAUAAUCAAGACAUUU